Molecule: ribosomal RNA, 425 nt
Filed under: uncultured bacterium
Lineage: Bacteria
Description: bacterial SSU rRNA
Rfam family: Bacterial small subunit ribosomal RNA
Source: RNAcentral
GCUAAACGCGAAGAACCUUACCCAGGUUUGACAUCCCAGGAAUUUUGGCGAAAGCCAGAAGUGCCUUCGGGAACCUGGUGACAGAUGCUGCAUGGCCGUCGUCAGCUCGUGUCGUGAGAUGUUGGGUUAAGUCCCGCAACGAGCGCAACCCUCGUCGUCAGUUGUAUUUUCUGGCGAGACCGCCCGGGCCAACCGGGAGGAAGGUGGGGAUGACGUCUGGUCAGCAUGGCUCUUACACCUCGGGCUACACACGUCCUACAAUGGCCACUACAACGCGCUGCCAAACCGUAAGGUGGAGCAAAUCGCACCAAAAGUGGUCUCAGUUCGGAUUGAGGGCUGAAACUCGCCCUCAUGAAGCCGGAUUUGCUAGUAAUGGCAGGUCAGCCAUACUGCCGUGAAUACGUUCCCGGGUCUUGUACACACCG